RNAcentral lists this ribosomal RNA (254 nucleotides) under uncultured bacterium. RNAcentral describes it as "partial 16S ribosomal RNA". It matches the Rfam family "Bacterial small subunit ribosomal RNA", at positions 524 to 776 of the family's 1533-position model. The record is from RNAcentral.
UACGGGGGGAGCAAGCGUUGUUCGGAUUUACUGGGCGUAAAGGGCGCGUAGGCGGUCACGACAAUUCAGUUGUGAAAUCUCCGGGCUUAACUCGGAACGGUCAGCUGAUACUGUCGGACUAGAGUGCAGAAGGGGCAACUGGAAUUCUCGGUGUAGCGGUGAAAUGCGUAGAUAUCGAGAGGAACACCUGCGGCGAAGGCGGGUUGCUGGGCUGACACUGACGCUGAGACGCGAAGGCGUGGGGAGCGAACGGG